GACAGAGGGUGCAAACGUUGUUCGGAAUUACUGGGCGUAAAGCGCGUGUAGGCAGCUGAGCAAGUCGGAUGUGAAAGCCCUGGGCUCAACCUAGGAAGUGCAUUCGAAACUGCUGAGCUUGAGUUCUGGAGAGGAAGGCGGAAUUCUCGGUGUAGAGGUGAAAUUCGUAGAUAUCGGGAGGAACACCGGUGGCGAAGGCGGCCUUCUGGACAGCAACUGACGCUGAGACGCGAAAGCGUGGGGAGCAAACAGG
Molecule: ribosomal RNA, 253 nt
Filed under: uncultured bacterium
Lineage: Bacteria
Description: partial 16S ribosomal RNA
Rfam family: Bacterial small subunit ribosomal RNA
Source: RNAcentral